CAGAAAAUAGUUUAAUUUAAAAUGCUAGUUUUGGGGACUAGCGAUAGGAUUUGAGUUCCUUUUUUUGA
Molecule: transfer RNA, 68 nt
Filed under: Lucasium damaeum (beaded gecko)
Lineage: Eukaryota; Metazoa; Chordata; Lepidosauria; Squamata; Diplodactylidae
Description: tRNA-Pro
Source: RNAcentral